RNAcentral lists this ribosomal RNA (404 nucleotides) under Actinomycetes bacterium. Its description in RNAcentral is "Actinobacteria bacterium partial 16S ribosomal RNA". It matches the Rfam family "Bacterial small subunit ribosomal RNA", at positions 355 to 776 of the family's 1533-position model. The record is from RNAcentral. Lineage: Bacteria; Bacillati; Actinomycetota; Actinomycetes.
UGGGGAAUAUUGGACAAUGGGCGCAAGCCUGAUCCAGCCAUGCCGCGUGAGUGAUGAUGGCCCUAGGGUUGUAAAGCUCUUUCACCGGUGAAGAUAAUGACGGUAACCGGAGAAGAAGCCCCGGCUAACUUCGUGCCAGCAGCCGCGGUAAUACGAAGGGGGCUAGCGUUGUUCGGAUUUACUGGGCGUAAAGCGCACGUAGGCGGACUUUUAAGUCAGGGGUGAAAUCCCGGGGCUCAACCCCGGAACUGCCUUUGAUACUGGAAGUCUUGAGUAUGGUAGAGGUGAGUGGAAUUCCGAGUGUAGAGGUGAAAUUCGUAGAUAUUCGGAGGAACACCAGUGGCGGAGGCGGCUCACUGGACCAUUACUGACGCUGAGGUGCGAAAGCGUGGGGAGCAAACAGG